Molecule: long non-coding RNA, 524 nt
Filed under: Chinchilla lanigera (long-tailed chinchilla)
Lineage: Eukaryota; Metazoa; Chordata; Mammalia; Rodentia; Chinchillidae
Description: lncRNA (ENSCLAG00000028817.1)
Source: RNAcentral
AGUUGCAAACACCUAAUUUUUUAAAAUAAUAUCAGAAAUCUUCCUAGGUAAAUGAAGAUCACUGACUGUUUCCUCUCUGGGACAAUAUGCCAUUAUCUGAACCCAGCCUGAAGAUCCGUCUCGCCAUAGUCAUAAGGAUUCUGCUUGGAAAGAGAGUCAUUAUAGUGGCUUUUGACAGUAAUGACGCAGUGAACUCCAGAAGAGCUCCAUAAAAACAAUUCAGUUUUUUAAACAACUUACUAGAUUGCAGGGGCAUCUGGAGAACUGGGUGGGGAAGGAAAACAGAACUGAACCCAGUCUCAGGGAUUCAAAGAAAAUAUUGUUUCUACAACAAACCCUCAGAUUUUAUGCUCCAGAUAAUGGAAACAAGGAUGAACAGGUGUGAUCAAAGUGAUAGUGCAAAUCUGGCCCAGCUGGAUUCCCAGUCAAAUCAAGAUAACAAGCAAUUCCAUCUUUCUGAUAGAGGAAGGAAAAGACUCUCUCUGGGGACAAAUGAAGUUACCUUAAGUAUAUAUGAUCUCUAG